AGAAGAUAACAAUUAUGUCCCCGUACGGACUUCAACAAUUACUAUAAACUGAUAUACCACAUAGUCAAACAAAUAAAAGUCCCAGAAAUUACGUUUUUUUUAUAUGACUUGCACAUAAUGAAAAUUAAAGUUGUGCAUACUGAAUGAUCACUGGCAAGUAUUUCAAGCAUAAUACGGAUGAGAACAUGCAGAUAAGUAUCAAUUAUGAAAGUUAUGCAAAGUAAGACGGGAGCUAGAUAUAUGGACUGCCAUAAAAAAAAUGAAUGGACAAUUACGCUUGGUGCA
RNAcentral lists this long non-coding RNA (285 nucleotides) under Mytilus galloprovincialis (Mediterranean mussel). Lineage: Eukaryota; Metazoa; Mollusca; Bivalvia; Mytilida; Mytilidae. The record is from RNAcentral.